GCGGAGGGAUCAUUACCGAGUUUACAACUCCCAAACCCCUGUGAACAUACCUUAAUGUUGCCUCGGCGGAUCAGCCCGCGCCCCGUAAAACGGGACGGCCCGCCAGAGGACCCAAACUCUAAUGUUUCUUAUUGUAACUUCUGAGUAAAACAAACAAAUAAAUCAAAACUUUCAACAACGGAUCUCUUGGUUCUGGCAUCGAUGAAGAACGCAGCAAAAUGCGAUAAGUAAUGUGAAUUGCAGAAUUCAGUGAAUCAUCGAAUCUUUGAACGCACAUUGCGCCCGCUGGUAUUCCGGCGGGCAUGCCUGUUCGAGCGUCAUUUCAACCCUCAAGCCCUCGGGUUUGGUGUUGGGGAUCGGCUCUGCCUUCUGGCGGUGCCGCCCCCGAAAUACAUUGGCGGUCUCGCUGCAGCCUCCAUUGCGUAGUAGCUAACACCUCGCAACUGGAACGCGGCGCGGCCAUGCCGUAAAACCCCAACUUCUGAAUGUUGACCUCGGAUCAGGUAGGAAUACCCGCUGAACUUAAGCAUAUCAAUAAGCGGAGGA
Molecule: ribosomal RNA, 546 nt
Filed under: Fusarium tricinctum
Lineage: Eukaryota; Fungi; Ascomycota; Sordariomycetes; Hypocreales; Nectriaceae
Description: eukaryotic LSU rRNA
Rfam family: 5.8S ribosomal RNA (bases 167-320)
Source: RNAcentral